This 489-nucleotide ribosomal RNA is filed under the name uncultured bacterium. RNAcentral describes it as "partial 16S ribosomal RNA". It matches the Rfam family "Bacterial small subunit ribosomal RNA", at positions 30 to 507 of the family's 1533-position model. The record is from RNAcentral.
AUUGAACGCUGGCGGCAGGCCUAACACAUGCAAGUCGAACGGUAACAGGAAGCAGCUUGCUGCUUUGCUGACGAGUGGCGGACGGGUGAGUAAUGUCUGGGAAACUGCCUGAUGGAGGGGGAUAACUACUGGAAACGGUAGCUAAUACCGCAUAACGUCGCAAGACCAAAGAGGGGGACCUUCGGGCCUCUUGCCAUCGGAUGUGCCCAGAUGGGAUUAGCUAGUAGGUGGGGUAACGGCUCACCUAGGCGACGAUCCCUAGCUGGUCUGAGAGGAUGACGACCCACAUGGAACUGGAGCACCGUCCCAGAUUCUAAGGGGAGGAACAGUGGGGAAUUUUGGACAAAGGGGGGAAAGCUGGUUGAAGCAAGGCGCGGGUAAUGAAGAAGGCUUCCGGUUGUAAAGUACUUUCAGCGGGGAGGAAGGGAGUAAAGUUAAUACCUUGGCUCAUUGACGUUACCCGCAGAAGAAGCACCGGCUAACUCCGUG